UACGUAGGGGGCAAGCGUUAUCCAGAUUUACUGGGCGUAAAGCGCGUGUAGGCGGCUGGUUAGGCGUGAUGUGAAAUCUUCCGGCUCAACCGGAAAACUGCAUUGCGAACCGGCCUGGCUAGAGUGCAGGAGAGGGAAGCGGAAUUCCAGGUGUAGCGGUGAAAUGCGUAGAGAUCGGAAGGAACACCAGUGGCGAAGGCGGCUUUCUGGAUUCAUACUGACGCUGAGGUGCGAAAGCGUGGGGAGCAAACAGG
RNAcentral lists this ribosomal RNA (254 nucleotides) under uncultured bacterium. RNAcentral's name for it is "partial 16S ribosomal RNA". It matches the Rfam family "Bacterial small subunit ribosomal RNA", at positions 524 to 776 of the family's 1533-position model. The record is from RNAcentral.